UGUUCGAGCGUCAUUGCAACCAACAAGCCUAAGCUUGGUAUUGGAUGUUACUAUACUAGGUGCAUCUUAAAAUCAUGAGCGGUGCUCUCAGCUUCAAGCGUAGUAAAUGUCUCGCUCUGGAGUCUGGAGUUGACACUGUCUGAACCCCUAAAUUACUAAGGUUUGACCUCGGAUCAGGUAGGGAUACCCGCUGAACUUAA
RNAcentral lists this unclassified non-coding RNA (200 nucleotides) under soil metagenome. Its description in RNAcentral is "partial contains internal transcribed spacer 2 and large subunit ribosomal RNA". The record is from RNAcentral.